Molecule: ribosomal RNA, 253 nt
Filed under: uncultured bacterium
Lineage: Bacteria
Description: partial 16S ribosomal RNA
Rfam family: Bacterial small subunit ribosomal RNA
Source: RNAcentral
UACAGAGGUCCCAAGCGUUGUUCGGAUUCACUGGGCGUAAAGGGUGCGUAGGUGGCGCGGUAAGUCGGGUGUGAAAUUUCGGAGCUUAACUCCGAAACUGCAUUCGAUACUGGCGUGCUUGAGGACUGGAGAGGAGACUGGAAUUCAUGGUGUAGCAGUGAAAUGCGUAGAGAUCAUGAGGAAGACCAGUGGCGAAGGCGGGUCUCUGGACAGUUCCUGACACUGAGACACGAAGGCCAGGGGAGCAAACGGG